GACGAACGCUGGCGGCGUGCUUAACACAUGCAAGUCGAGCGGUAAGGCCCUUUCGGGGGUACACGAGCGGCGAACGGGUGAGUAACACGUGGGUGACCUGCCCUCAGCUCUGGGAUAAGCCUGGGAAACCGGGUCUAAUACUGGAUAUGACUCCAUGACGCAUGUUGUGGGGUGGAAAGCCUUGUGCGGCUGAGGAUGGGCCCGCGGCCUAUCAGCUUGUUGGUGGGGUGANGGCCUACCAAGGCGACGACGGGUAGCCGGCCUGAGAGGGCGACCGGCCACACUGGGACUGAGACACGGCCCAGACUCUACGGGAGGCAGCAGUGGGGAAUCUUGCGCAAUGGGCGAAAGCCUGACGCAGCGACGCCGCGUGAGGGAUGACGGCC
This 386-nucleotide ribosomal RNA is filed under the name uncultured bacterium. RNAcentral describes it as "bacterial SSU rRNA". It matches the Rfam family "Bacterial small subunit ribosomal RNA", at positions 28 to 416 of the family's 1533-position model. The record is from RNAcentral.